Molecule: transfer RNA, 69 nt
Filed under: Cavia porcellus (domestic guinea pig)
Lineage: Eukaryota; Metazoa; Chordata; Mammalia; Rodentia; Caviidae
Rfam family: tRNA
About the family: Transfer RNA (tRNA) molecules are approximately 80 nucleotides in length. Their secondary structure includes four short double-helical elements and three loops (D, anti-codon, and T loops).
Source: Rfam by way of RNAcentral
GGGGAUAUAGCUCAAUGGCAUAGCAUCUGCCUGGCAAGCAUGAGGUCUUGAGUUCGAUUCCUGAUACCA